GAAAUGCGAUAAGUAAUGUGAAUUGCAGAAUUCCGUGAAUCAUCGAAUCUUUGAACGCACAUUGCGCCCCCUGGUAUUCCGGGGGGCAUGCCUGUUCGAGCGUCAUUUCAACCCCUCAAGCCCGGCUUGUGUGAUGGACGACCGUCCCCCCAAACCCGUUCCGCGGGCCGCGGGGGACGCGCCCGAAAAGCAGUGGCCAGGCCGCGCUUCCGGCUCCUAGGCGAAUGGGACAACCACCGCUUAAGGGACCGGCCGGUUCUGCUGGCCUUGACUGGACGAAUUCAGUUUCGUUCGUUAAACAAUUUUCAGGUUGACCUCGGAUCAGGUAGGGAUACCCGCUGAACUUAA
This 348-nucleotide unclassified non-coding RNA is filed under the name uncultured Arthrodermataceae. RNAcentral's name for it is "sequence contains ITS1". The stretch from base 1 to 105 matches the Rfam family "5.8S ribosomal RNA", at positions 50 to 154 of the family's 154-position model. Lineage: Eukaryota; Fungi; Ascomycota; Eurotiomycetes; Onygenales; Arthrodermataceae. The record is from RNAcentral.